ACUCAAAUGAAUUGACGGGGGCCCGCACAAGCAGCGGAGCGUGUGGUUUAAUUCGACGCAACGCGAAGAACCUUACCCAGGCUUGACAUGCAUCUGCAAGCCGUUGAAAGACGGUCGCCUUCGAGGGUGAUGCACAGGUGCUGCAUGGUUGUCGUCAGCUCGUGUCGUGAGAUGUUGGGUUAAGUCCCGCAACGAGCGCAACCCCUACUGCCAGUUACUUGUGUCUGGCGGGACUGCCGGCUUUCGGCCGGAGGAAGGCGGGGAUGACGUCAAAUCCGCAUGGCCCUUACGCCUGGGGCGACACACACGCUACAAUGGCCAGGACAGCGCGUUGCCAAGCCGCAAGGCGGAGCUAAUCGCCCAAACCUGGUCCCAGUGCAGAUCGGGGGCUGCAACUCGCCCCCGUGAAGGUGGAGUUGCUAGUAACCGCGUAUCAGCCAUGGCGCGGUGAAUACGUUCCCGGGCCUUGUACACACCGCCCGU
Molecule: ribosomal RNA, 483 nt
Filed under: uncultured bacterium
Lineage: Bacteria
Description: partial 16S ribosomal RNA
Rfam family: Bacterial small subunit ribosomal RNA
Source: RNAcentral